CCCCCCCCCCCCCCCCCCCCCCGCACCAUGGCGGCGGCAGCUCAGCGACGAAUCAAGGUGGUGCUCCUGCAGAUCUAGCUGGACGUCCAUGGAGGCGGCGAUGACAACAACUUCAGGUCACCUCCCCUCUACCCUCCCUCCCUCUACAGAGAUCUGCUCUCUCUCCUCUCCCCAGCAAAGGGCUUCGUGUGGGGACACGGCGACGGCGCUCCUCCAUGAAGGCAUGAAAACGGCCACCACAAUGGUACCACAACCGAAGACGCUUCAGCUCUGAAAAAACUGGAAGAGUCUCUGGAAUCAGAUGCUGGAAAGAAAUAUAAUUCAGGAGAUAAAAUAACAAGUGGUUCUAAAUGGACGAGAACAAACCAGAAGUGAAGCAAUAGAUUAGCUUUAGUUCUGAAGUAUUGAUGUCGCAUCCAUUUGCUACAUAGAUUUGGUACAAAAAUAUAUUGGGUUGGAGCUAGCAGACUGUCAUCUUGCUUCAGUUCAACUUCAAGGUGAACUUCAGUUGACCUUUAGUUUACUUCCUCGGAGUUAGUAUACAAGGAGUUAUAUAUAAUUUAAAGCAAUAGUAUGAAGCUCUCGUUAGAUCUGGAAGGAUGUAUAUUUAGUGGAGUUCUCAUUUAUUCAUCUUAUUUCAAUAGCUUAUUGGAUGCCAAUCUGAUAUGUAUGUACAAAUAAUUAUUGUGGACAUGUAUAUGGAAGUACCAGACUUUGCAGGAGCUGAGAUUGAGAAAUGAGAAAUUGUAAUUACAUAUGCUGCA
Molecule: long non-coding RNA, 764 nt
Organism: Setaria italica (foxtail millet)
Lineage: Eukaryota; Viridiplantae; Streptophyta; Magnoliopsida; Poales; Poaceae
Exons: 3
Source: RefSeq, a predicted model, not a curated record